CAGGGUGACAGCCCCGUACACAAAAGCGCAUGUGCUGUGAGCUCGAUGAGUAGGGCGGGACACGUGGUAUCCUGUCUGAAUAUGGGGGGACCAUCCUCCAAGGCUAAAUACUCCUGACUGACCGAUAGUGAACCAGUACCGUGAGGGAAAGGCGAAAAGAACCCCGGCGAGGGGAGUGAAAAAGAACCUGAAACCGUGUACGUACAAGCAGUGGGAGCACCCUUUGGGUGUGACUGCGUACCUUUUGUAUAAUGGGUCAGCGACUUAUAUUCUGUAGCAAGGUUAACCGAAUAGGGGAGCCGGAGGGAAACCGAGUCUUAACCGGGCGUUAAGUUGCAGGGUAUAGACCCGAAACCCGGUGAUCUAGCCAUGGGCAGGUUGAAGGUUGGGUAACACUAACUGGAGGACCGAACCGACUAAUGUUGAAAAAUUAGCGGAUGACCUGUGGCUGGGGGUGAAAGGCCAAUCAAACCGGGAGAUAGCUGGUUCUCCCCGAAAGCUAUUUAGGUAGCGCCUCGUGAAUUCAUCUCCGGGGGUAGAGCA
This 543-nucleotide ribosomal RNA is filed under the name Salmonella enterica subsp. enterica serovar Enteritidis. Its description in RNAcentral is "bacterial LSU rRNA". It matches the Rfam family "Bacterial large subunit ribosomal RNA", at positions 360 to 909 of the family's 2925-position model. The record is from RNAcentral. Lineage: Bacteria; Pseudomonadati; Pseudomonadota; Gammaproteobacteria; Enterobacterales; Enterobacteriaceae.